AGAACGAACGCUGGCGGCGUGCUUAACACAUGCAAGUCGAACGCGAAAGUUUUCUUCGGAAAGCGAGUAGAGUGGCGCACGGGUGAGUAACGCGUAAAUAAUCUACCCUUGCAUCUGGGAUAACCCACCGAAAGGUGUGCUAAUACCGGAUACGUUCUUUUAACCGCGAGGUUUUAAGAAGAAAGGUGGCCUCUGAUAUAAGCUACUGUGCAGGGAGGAGUUUGCGUACCAUUAGCUAGUUGGUAGGGUAAUGGCCUACCAAGGCAACGAUGGUUAGCGGGUCUGAGAGGAUGAUCCGCCACACUGGAACUGGAACACGGACCAGACUCCUACGGGAGGCAGCAGUGAGGAAUAUUGCGCAAUGGGGGAAACCCUGACGCAGCGACGCCGCGUGGAUGAUGAAGGCCUUCGGGUCGUAAAAUCCUGUCAGAUGGAAAGAAGUGUAUAUGUGUUAAUAUCACAUAUAUUUGACGGUACCAUCAAAGGAAGCACCGGCUAACUCCGUGCCAGCAGCCGCGGUAAUACGGAGGGUGCAAGCGUUGUUCGGAAUUACUGGGCGUAAAGCGCGCGUAGGUGGUCUGUUAUGUCAGAUGCGAAAGUCCACGGCUCAACCGUGGAAGUGCAUUUGAAACUGGCAGACUUGAGUACUGGAGGGGGUAGUGGAAUUCCCGGUGUAGAGGUGAAAUUCGUAGAUAUCGGGAGGAAUACCGGUGGCGAAGGCGACUACCUGGCCAGAUACUGACACUGAGGUGCGAAAGCGUGGGGAGCGAACAGGAUUAGAUACCCUGGUAGUCCACGCCGUAAACGAUGUCAACUAGGUGUUGGGAUGGUUAAUCGUCUCAUUGCCGCAGCUAACGCAUUAAGUUGACCGCCUGGGGAGUACGGUCGCAAGAUUAAAACUCAAAGGAAUUGACGGGGGCCCGCACAAGCGG
Molecule: ribosomal RNA, 932 nt
Filed under: uncultured bacterium
Lineage: Bacteria
Description: bacterial SSU rRNA
Rfam family: Bacterial small subunit ribosomal RNA
Source: RNAcentral